Molecule: microRNA, 23 nt
Filed under: Rattus norvegicus (Norway rat)
Lineage: Eukaryota; Metazoa; Chordata; Mammalia; Rodentia; Muridae
Description: rno-miR-344-3p (Mir344-1)
Source: RNAcentral
UGAUCUAGCCAAAGCCUGACCGU